GGUCUAUGGUGUAAUGGUUAGCACUCUGGACUUUUGAAUCCCAGCGAUCCGGGUUCGAGUCCCGGUUAGGACCU
Molecule: transfer RNA, 74 nt
Filed under: Pythium insidiosum
Lineage: Eukaryota; Oomycota; Peronosporomycetes; Pythiales; Pythiaceae
Description: tRNA-Lys
Rfam family: tRNA
About the family: Transfer RNA (tRNA) molecules are approximately 80 nucleotides in length. Their secondary structure includes four short double-helical elements and three loops (D, anti-codon, and T loops). Further hydrogen bonds mediate the characteristic L-shaped molecular structure. tRNAs have two regions of fundamental functional importance: the anti-codon, which is responsible for specific mRNA codon recognition, and the 3' end, to which the tRNAs corresponding amino acid is attached (by aminoacyl-tRNA synthetases). tRNAs cope with the degeneracy of the genetic code in two manners: having more than one tRNA (with a specific anti-codon) for a particular amino acid; and 'wobble' base-pairing, i.e. permitting non-standard base-pairing at the 3rd anti-codon position.
Source: RNAcentral